UACAGAGGGUGCGAGCGUUGUCCGGAAUCACUGGGCGUAAAGGGCGCGUAGGUGGCGCGACAAGUCGGUGGUGAAAGUUCGACGCUCAACGUCGAAUCGGCCACCGAUACUGUUGGGCUUGAGCACUGUAGAGGCUAAUGGAAUUCCGGGUGUAGCGGUGGAAUGCGUAGAGAUCCGGAAGAACACCGGUGGCGAAGGCGGUUAGCUGGGCAGUUGCUGACACUGAGGCGCGACAGCGUGGGUAGCAAACGGG
Molecule: ribosomal RNA, 253 nt
Filed under: uncultured bacterium
Lineage: Bacteria
Description: partial 16S ribosomal RNA
Rfam family: Bacterial small subunit ribosomal RNA
Source: RNAcentral